UUAAGUAUUGUAGCAAUGAGGUUUCAUCACAUGCACCUGGCAGGCUAGAUGUUGACACACACUGGCAGGCUGCGUUGUGACACGGGAGAAGAAUUGAACGUUUUGAAUUUGACUAGGUUGUCAAUGAUGAGAAAAUUUUACAUUAUUUGUCAUUACAUUUUAUUGUCAGAAGAAUUUUAGCUUUCGUGUAAGACACAACACAUGCUAAAUUGGCGCCCAGCUAGUAGGGCCGACCAUGCCCCGAACUAGGCUACGGAGGCAGACGACGGCAGACGACGAAGCUACGGAGCAGAGUCCUGUACGGGCCCCCGAACUUGUCACAGCGCCUCGUCUGACCGUGCCGGCAUAAUGCAGGCGGAUACGACUAGGUGCCCAAUAGAGACGCUGCGGUCGUUGCGCCGACGAAACGCGGUCGAAACGCCGGCGCCUCAUGGCAGUCACCAUCGUCACCGUCGCUGAACAUCACUAAAUAUUCCGCGGGGUUCCCGCGAGGUUCACCGGACUUCUCAAGAAGAGUUCGUCCUGGGACUUCGCCAAGUGUACCGCGGGGUUCACCGGACUUCUCAAGAAGAGUUCGUCCUGGGACUUCGCCAAGUGUACCGCGGGGUUCACCGGACUUCUCAAGAAGAGUUCGUCCUGGAACUUCGCCAAGUGUACCGCGGGGUUCACCGGACUUCUCAAGAAGAGUUCGUCCUGGAACUUCGCCAAGUGUACCGCGGGGUUCACCGGACUUCUCAAGAAGAGUUCGUCCUGGGACUUCGCCAAGUGUACCGCGGGGUUCACCGGACUUCUCAAGAAGAGUUCGUCCUGGGACUUCGCCAAGUGUACCGCGGGGUUCACCGGACUUCUCAAGAAGAGUUCGUCCUGGGACUUCGCCAAGUGUACCGCGGGGUUCACCGGACUU
Spodoptera frugiperda (fall armyworm) is the source of this 904-nucleotide long non-coding RNA. RefSeq lists it as uncharacterized. Lineage: Eukaryota; Metazoa; Arthropoda; Insecta; Lepidoptera; Noctuidae. The transcript is spliced from 2 exons. The record is from RefSeq and is a predicted model, not a curated record.